Molecule: ribosomal RNA, 305 nt
Filed under: uncultured bacterium
Lineage: Bacteria
Description: bacterial SSU rRNA
Rfam family: Bacterial small subunit ribosomal RNA
Source: RNAcentral
UUGCCCUACGGGACGCAGCAGUGAGGAAUAUUGGUCAAUGGGCGCGAGCCUGAACCAGCCAAGUCGCGUGAGGGAUGACGGUCCUACGGAUUGUAAACCUCUUUUGCCGGGGAGCAAGCGUGCGUUCGUGAACGCACGUCGAGAGUACCCGGAGAAAAAGCAUCGGCUAACUCCGUGCCAGCAGCCGCGGUAAUACGGAGGAUGCGAGCGUUAUCCGGAUUUAUUGGGUUUAAAGGGUGCGUAGGCGGACAGUCAAGUCAGCGGUAAAAAUGCGGUGCUCAACGCCGUACAGCCGUUGAAACUGG